UACGUAAGUGGCGAGCGUUAUCCGGAAUUACUGGGCGUAAAGCGUGCGUAGGCGGUUUAGUGUGUGGGAAUUGAAAGCCCGGGGCUCAACUCCGGAUCCGGUUCCCAAACUGCUAGACUCGAGAGUAUCAGAGGAGAGCGGAAUUCCCGGUGUAGCGGUAAUAUGCGUAGAUAUCGGGAGGAACACCGGUGGCGAAGGCGGAUCUCUGGACCAGUUCUGACACUGAUGAGCGAAAGCCAGGGGAGCAAACAGG
RNAcentral lists this ribosomal RNA (253 nucleotides) under uncultured bacterium. Its description in RNAcentral is "partial 16S ribosomal RNA". It matches the Rfam family "Bacterial small subunit ribosomal RNA", at positions 524 to 776 of the family's 1533-position model. The record is from RNAcentral.